Molecule: long non-coding RNA, 612 nt
Organism: Polyodon spathula (Mississippi paddlefish)
Lineage: Eukaryota; Metazoa; Chordata; Actinopteri; Acipenseriformes; Polyodontidae
Exons: 3
Source: RefSeq, a predicted model, not a curated record
AAAUGUUCGCAUUAAAAGCUGCAGAUCUGUUUAGACGCUUAUCCUAAACGGAUUACUUUGCACUAUGGGGUUUUAUAAGUUUCCUCACCUCUGUACCUUUAGCGUCUAGAUACGGUGCGCUGAUUGUUUUCACGUUUAGAAAGAAUACAUUUACAAUAUCCAAGAGGCAUGCAAGUUGCAGAUGGAGGGGAGCCUGAGCCAAGCCAAUGCCCCAUGCAGAAUCUUCAAUGAAAAUGGACAACAGCACAGCAACUGUACGAUGUGAACCUGUGGUUCCCUGAUGGUAUCACCCAUUCUGCAUGUCAGCCAUGGUCCCGAGUACUUCCUCAACCUGCUGAUUCUCUAUGUCCCUACCUGGAAGUGAGGUCCUCCGAUUCUGGUCUGCUUGUUAUCCUCAAGCAAAAGUGCACCACACUUGGAGAAUGCUUAUUUAACUUCAUGGCUCUCCCAGAUUUGGUGCAUGAUGCUCCCACCAUCACUCUCUUUAAAUUAGCUCUCAAGAUCCACCUGUUCUCUUUUGCUUUCCAUGCUCUUUAAGUAUGAUAUAUUCUGUUAGCUGCUAUGUUGUUGCUACUGUUUAAUGUAUUAUGUUACUAUGAUGUAUUAAGCACU